This is a long non-coding RNA of Oncorhynchus tshawytscha (Chinook salmon), 1748 nucleotides long. Lineage: Eukaryota; Metazoa; Chordata; Actinopteri; Salmoniformes; Salmonidae. The record is from Ensembl.
CCAGAACGUUCAUCACGCACAUGUGUCCCUAUUCCCACUAAUUAGGUUAAUGAUCGACUGCCCAAUGGAGUGCUGUGUGUUUUGGGCUUUCAUGCCCUUGUGGAUUGCGCAGAUGAUUAAGGGUCUCGUCCCGUGUGUUAUUUAUUCCAGCCCAGAGAGGAGUCCCAUCACCAGGCCUUGGAGAGCUGUACCAUGCCCCCGCUGGUCUCCCUAUCCACAACAGUGACAGAUCUAAAGCCUGAUAGAACAGUGACAGUCAGGUGGUGUCUAUUCACUUUUGAUGUAAAGUGUAACUCACACAUCAUUAGAGGUGUUACACUGAGCUGGUGGAUGAGACAAGUACUGAUCUGCAGGGAGACUCCAGAUACCAGGUCACACAACAUUCUCCCUGUGACUUCACUCUGUGACAAUCCAGAGGGAGGACAACAACAGGAAGUGGACACGUCAGCUGACUGAAGGAGGAAAAGUGAAGACCUUCAUUGACUUCACCUCCAUGUUCUCGGGAAGUACCCCAUGCCAGAGAGCAGGAUCCACAACUACUACAUGUAUCAUCUCUGCAAGUCUCUGGACCACAUACACAAUCAUGGUCUCUUCCACCGGUACAUCAAACCAGAGAACAUUCUGAUUAAGCCCAGAGAGGAGUCACAUCGCCAGGCCUUGGACAGCUGUACACCGCCCCCGGAUAGGACCAGUGGAGACCCAAAACACUGACUGCCUCACUACUCCCAGCCCCAUAAUACUGGUGUGGGAGGUAAAGUCACAAUUUGGUGGUUUAAUACAGGUUCCAAGAAACCCUCCAUUCAGCUCUUUUAGAGCCACAGCUAAACAGUUGGUCCAACAGACUUGUGUUAAGCCUCAAGACUGAUUUCAUUUGAAUUAACUACUAGGUCUCAUGUGCCCAUACAAUACUACUAAAACAAACAGUGCUGAAGCUAAACUCAUGAGAAACAUUUAGAGGAAAGUCCUCUGGUGACUGACUGUCCAUUCAGCCCACUAGUAAAAGACUGGAGGUCAGAGACAAACAAGGUCUAUCAAAGCUGUUUAAUAGGAGUCACACAGUGGGGGAAAAAAAACACUCCCACUGUUAGACCUUGGAGAAUCCUUCCACUGCCUACCUGGGUGCAUCACAUCCUCCCUAUUCAGGGAGGUGAAACUGUCAGGGGCGAACUUCCCGGAAGCUUCGUAGCACUACGAUCAUGCUUAUAGAAGUCCAUUGUCAGCAAUGGUUGGAAGAUGACCUUAGAGCUACAAAGCUUUAAGCAAUGCAAUGAAUAGACCAUUUUCACCGAAUACAUUCCGAUGUGAACGUUUCACUCCCCUGAGCUAGCCCGAGCACUCAUACCACCAAGUAUUGAUGUUCAAGAAGUGUCAGUUGUCUGGAUCACAUAACUCCUGUACCGCCAUAGUCCACACAACCAUAACGCCAGUUCAGGCAUAUGUUAUAUUUGUUAUAUACUAGGUAGGUAAGUGAAUUGACACGUUUAGAGUACUGGUACCUAUUAAUGGGUGAGAGACCUAUGUUAGCAGUAGUCUUCCAUGUUUUACCUGAGCUCUGAGUGAUGGCUGAAUUAGACGGCUCCUAGCUUAGCCUAUGGCCCGGUCCUAAAUCAACCUCUAGCACCUACGACCUGUGCCCUCGUGCAAAUCUGAGAGGAUUGGAUAGGCAUAGAAGCAAUAUAGUGAAAAUUGAAUAAAGUGUUUCAGGGAAAUGUGGUGCUAUAUCUACCUACAUAAUCCAGGUCUCCGCA